Molecule: transfer-messenger RNA, 375 nt
Filed under: Bacteroidales bacterium
Lineage: Bacteria; Pseudomonadati; Bacteroidota; Bacteroidia; Bacteroidales
Rfam family: transfer-messenger RNA
About the family: Bacterial tmRNA, also known as 10Sa RNA or SsrA, is named for its dual tRNA and mRNA-like properties. Its role is to liberate the mRNA from a stalled ribosome. To accomplish this part of the tmRNA is used as a reading frame that ends in a translation stop signal.
Source: RNAcentral
GGGACCGUUUGGUUUUGACAGCAAGAUGAAGCGAAACGGCAAGCACGUCGAGGUGGGCGGAGGACCUCGUUAAUAAUCGGCCGCAAGCCAUUAAACGGCAACAAUUAUAACUACGCCAUGGCUGCCUGACCCAGAGGGUUACGCAGUGGCUGCUCUCGGUAAAGCCCCGACAUUCGGCUCGUGCCAAUGAGAGUAUCGGUUGAAAGGAUGUUCGAUUAAAGCAGUUUCUUCGUGGCUUUAACCGUAUUUUGAAGAUAAGGGCAAAAUUGGGCGUUGCAGCCCUGUUUUUCCUCGAAAAUCAAUCUGCAACUAAACGUGUAGAAAACCUUUUUACUCCUUGUUUGGACGGCGGUUCGACUCCGCCCGGUUCCACUA